UUUCCGCCUGUGCGGCUCGCCGGCUCAGUCCUCCGGUGGUCUGGGUCGGGGCUCAAACGCCGGGCUCUGGGACACAGGCACUGCUCCGGGUGAUAGUGCGGGAACAUGGCCUUGCAGCUGGGGAGGCUGAGCACAGGCCCCUGCUGGCGCGUGGCACGGGGCGGCUGCGGAGGGCUCCGCGCCUGGUCCCAAUGUAGCGGUGGAGGGCUCCGAGCCUGGUUCCAGCGCAGCGCAGCCGGACGCAUCUGCCGCCCCGCUGGCCCGGCUGGCACGGAGCAGAGCCGCGGGCUGGGGCACGGCUCGACGGCGAGAGGCGGCCCCUGGGUGGGGACAGGGCGGGCCGCGGCGCUGGCGGGGUUGGUGGGGUUGGCCGCCGUCGCCUUCGGGCAUGUGCAGCGGGCGGAGAUGGUGCCCAAGAGCUCGGGGACGCGAGCCACUUCGCUGGGGAGGCCGGAGGAAGAGGAUGAGCUGGCCUGCCGCUGCAGCAGCUUCAUGGCUCCGCCUGUGACCGACCUGGGCGAGCUGCGAAGGAGGCCGGGCGACAUGAAGACCAAGAUGGAACUGCUGAUCCUGGAGACCCAGGCCCAGGUGUGCCAGGCUCUGGCACAGGUAGACGGGGGCGCCAGCUUUUCUGUGGACCGGUGGGAGAGGAAGGAAGGAGGUGGCGGCAUCAGCUGUGUACUUCAAGAUGGGUGUGUUUUCGAAAAGGCUGGGGUGAGCAUUUCUGUUGUUCAUGGAAAUCUUUCAGAGGAAGCUGCAAAACAAAUGAGAAGCAGAGGAAAAGUUCUGAAGACUAAAGAUGGUAAAUUGCCAUUUUGUGCUAUGGGCGUGAGCUCUGUUAUCCACCCCAAGAAUCCUCAUGCUCCUACUAUCCAUUUCAACUACAGAUACUUUGAAGUAGAAGAAGCUGAUGGUAAGGGUCUCAGGAGCUAUGGAAAGUACUGUUGUGCAAAAUGUGCAUUUUAAAACAGAUAAGAGGGCAUAACAUCUAAAAGUGAGAAAGAAUAGUCUUAAUUAGGUCUUUCA
This 1026-nucleotide small RNA is filed under the name Pongo abelii (Sumatran orangutan). RNAcentral describes it as "retained intron". The record is from RNAcentral. Lineage: Eukaryota; Metazoa; Chordata; Mammalia; Primates; Hominidae.